This is a long non-coding RNA of Equus caballus (horse), 2043 nucleotides long. The record is from Ensembl. NCBI's taxonomy places the organism in Eukaryota, Metazoa, Chordata, Mammalia, Perissodactyla, Equidae.
CACUUACCCACAUAUGACAUUGCCCUUUUUUUGCUAGUGCCAACUGAAUUGUGGCUCCUUGAGGGCAAAGUCAGGUCUUAGCUGUCUUAUAAGAUAGUACUCAGCAAAGUAUCCUGUCAGAUGUCGAGAAUCCAAAGGGGGACCUCGGGCACAUCUGUAAAUGAUCUCAGCCUCAAAUCGUUCAUCCGUAAAAUGGAAAUAAUGCUAGUUCCCUACUAGGGUGAGAGUUAAGGGAGAUUAUGAAUACAAAAGAAAUUUGCGCAGUACCAGCACAGAGAAAUGGAUUCUAAAAUGCUAAUUUUUCCAGUAAUAAUAGUUGUUAGUUAUUAAUUUAACAAUAGAUUAACAUUUUAUUUGCCAUCAUUAUAAUUAUAAUCCCUAUUAUUUGAUCAAUUCAGAAAAGAGAAAGUAAUUUAAGAGCUUGUUUUUUCUUUUGAAUUCCAGAAUUUAACUUCUUUGUCCUUUCUUUAGAUUUCAUGUGCAUUCUCUAGCUGGUCAAUUGAUGGUCAUUUGGCAGGCUUUGACAAAGUCUAUUUUGUAUGCUGGAGAUGCCUAUACCAAAUCACCUGUCAGAAAUUUUAGCAAAAGUUGUGAUCCAAUUUAUCUACUGUAUUGAUAAGCUCUUUUACUUCAUCAAAGUGGAAAAAUAACCUAAUCCAGUUAUUAGGUAACAGCCAGAUUACCUAAUAGAUCACUGAUAGGCUCCUGUAAUUUGGGAUAUCUAAGGUAACUUCAGGUACAGCUCGAUCAAGAGUCGAAUGACGUUGUGGCUCUCUUUUUCUCUUUGCAGUUGGCCUCAUCUCUUUCCUUUGCAGAUGGGCUUCUCCAUUCAGCCAGGGAAGACAUCUCCUGCAGCUCCAAUUUUACUGCUUCAGCCGAAGUCCUAUGACCUCACUGCUGUAGCUUGGGCAUUGUGGACUAAUCACUAUGCUCUCACUGGCCGCAUCUGAGUCACAUGCCCAUUCUUGUUAUUUUGUGGGCUGGGGACGGCUCCACCUGAACCACAAGGACCAAGAAUGAGGAAGUGGUGAUAUCUCAAAGGAAAAUCAGGAUGCUUUUACCAGUUGAAGGCGGAUUGGAUACCCAACAGGCCUAAACUCCAGGUGUUCACACAUCCACCUUGCUACCCAGGUAGCCAUUUAUAUUUCUACUCAGUAGCAACUUCUCUUCACUGUUUGGAAUAUGGGAAGAGUCUUAUUCAGAGUUCUUGGCCUAGCCAGGUUCUGGUUAGUGUUUGGCAUUUUGUCAAUGAAACCAGGUACAAAAAGACCUUUUCCUGAGUCUCUGUUUCCCACUCUGCCUCUUCACAGAGGCCGGGUGGGGAGGAGUCCAGGGAUUAUUAUAGCCAGGGUGGAAGAGAAGAUGACCCUGACGUGGGCUUUAGAAGCAAGAGCGUCUGAGCUCUGCUUUCCCCCACGCAGACUGCUGGGCCUGUCUCUUCCCAUUGUUCUGAGAAAGCAAGAGUUCUAUGGUUUCCAUGGCAACCACCAGCUUGGGCCAUUUAACCAGCAGUGACUUCAUUUCCCAGGUCAGGGCUGGCUGGGUCCUUGUCUCAUAUUCUGUUACACAGCCGGGGCCAUCGCCACAGCUCCGUCAGGGAGUUUCCGCCUCAGUUGAAUGCUGGUCAGACUUUCCCACCAUUGCCCACUCCACGAGCCUUCUCUGGCCUGGACCUCAUACCAUUUCUUCUUCCCAAAGACCACGAUUGCCUGAGUUUUUCCUUCAGCUUAUCUCUCCUCUCACAUGUUCUCCUCUCACACGUUGCUAUAAACAGCAAGAAGAAAUCAAGCUCACUUUCAACACUCUGCCUGGAAAUCUCCUUGGAAAUGAAGGUAAGCCCACUGCAACUCUGUGGAUGAUGGCAAUACCCCAGGAGAUGGUGAAGGAGCAAGAUGUUAGGAGCUGGAUCCCUGAAUGACUGUGUGGAGCACUGCUACUCUGCCGGCUCUGUGCCUCUCACCUCUGGACUGCUUUAGGAGAAAAACUCUAAUUUAAGGCAAUCUGUUUUAUUUGCUAAUAAAUAAACAGGUUUUUUGUUGUUGU